Molecule: long non-coding RNA, 655 nt
Organism: Cervus elaphus (red deer)
Lineage: Eukaryota; Metazoa; Chordata; Mammalia; Artiodactyla; Cervidae
Exons: 6
Source: RefSeq, a predicted model, not a curated record
GGUGCAAGAAGGUGCUAAUGGACCAGUGACUGCCUCAAAUACAUUUUAAUGAGACUACUUCCAAGAAGCUAUGUGCAACUGAGAUAAGAAUAUGAAAGAAGUCUAGAAGCUGGAAGGAGUUGGUGGAAACCGAUUCAAAGAAGAGGAGGUGAAAGAUCAAACAACGCACAGCGACAAGUUCUGCUGCUCCAAGGAGACGAUCUAAUUCACUGAACCAAAUUACAGAGUCAGAUGGUUGGAACAUUGGAGUUUCCUUGAGUGUGGGAAAGAAUACUAACAAAAUAACACAUCUGUGUUCUGAAAUCCAAGAAUGACUGAUCACCUGUGAACCAAGUUGGGACUAAAUUUGAAGACAGUCAGAUAAAAUUUGUUACUGUGUCUUCCAUAAGAACAAAAUUCCUCCUCCUCCUGCUUCUCAUCAUAACCGAUUCAUGACUGGUGACUGCAAAGUGGACCUGCAUUGGAUUUUCCCAUAACCAGAUAAAUACAGAAAAAGUCAUGUUGCCUGUUUAUGGUGUCAAGAUGGCUCUACAGUCCUUCUUGCAGGAUUAUAGAAGCCUCAUGAAGAAAUAUCUGGGCAAGGAGACACUGGCUGUUAGGUAUUGGGGGGCAUCCUCCUUAUCUUCUGUUGCACUGAGGCCAGAUUGAGUGGCAG